This 497-nucleotide ribosomal RNA is filed under the name uncultured bacterium. RNAcentral describes it as "partial 16S ribosomal RNA". It matches the Rfam family "Bacterial small subunit ribosomal RNA", at positions 28 to 507 of the family's 1533-position model. The record is from RNAcentral.
GACGAACGCUGGCGGCGUGCCUAAUACAUGCAAGUUGAGCGCUGAAGGUUGGUACUUGUACCAACUGGAUGAGCAGCGAACGGGUGAGUAACGCGUGGGGAAUCUGCCUUUGAGCGGGGGACAACAUUAGGAAACGAAUGCUAAUACCGCAUAAAAACUUUAAACACAAGUUUUAAGUUUGAAAGAUGCAAUUGCAUCACUCAAAGAUGAUCCCGCGUUGUAUUAGCUAGUUGGUGAGGUAAAGGCUCACCAAGGCGAUGAUACAUAGCCGACCUGAGAGGGUGAUCGGCCACAUUGGGACUGAGACACGGCCCAAACGCCUACGGGAGGCAGCAGUAGGGAAUCUUCGGCAAUGGACGAAAGUCUGACCGAGCAACGCCGCGUGAGUGAAGAAGGGUUUCGGAUCGUAAAACUCUGUUGGUAGAGAAGAACGUUGGUGAGAGUGGAAAGCUCAUCAAGUGACGGUAACUACGCAGAAAGGGACGGCUAACUACGUG